Molecule: ribosomal RNA, 218 nt
Filed under: Platyophrya macrostoma
Lineage: Eukaryota; Ciliophora; Colpodea; Cyrtolophosidida; Platyophryidae
Description: partial Bacterial large subunit ribosomal RNA
Rfam family: Bacterial large subunit ribosomal RNA
Source: RNAcentral
GAAACCAAGUCUUAAUAGGGCGAUGAGUUCCGCGGAUAAGACCCGAAACCGAGUGAUCUAGAUAUGGGCAGGUUGAAGACACCUUAACCGGUGUUGGAGGACCGAACCCACGCCUGUUGCAAAAGGCGGGGAUGACCUGUGUCUAGGGGUGAAAGGCUAAUCAAACUCGGAUAUAGCUGGUUCUCCGCGAAAUCUAUUGAGGUAGAGCGUCGUGUGAU